ACCGCUCACGAACAUAGGGACACUGUUCGCGAAACUUUCGCGAACAUAUGUCCACAUGUUCUAGAGCG
Molecule: non-coding RNA, 68 nt
Organism: Nematostella vectensis (starlet sea anemone)
Lineage: Eukaryota; Metazoa; Cnidaria; Anthozoa; Actiniaria; Edwardsiidae
Source: Rfam